This 497-nucleotide ribosomal RNA is filed under the name uncultured bacterium. RNAcentral's name for it is "partial 16S ribosomal RNA". It matches the Rfam family "Bacterial small subunit ribosomal RNA", at positions 28 to 507 of the family's 1533-position model. The record is from RNAcentral.
GAUGAACGCUGGCGGCAUGCCUAACACAUGCAAGUCGAGCGAAAAGACGAGGAGCUUGUGCCUCUGACGUUGGCGACGGGCGGGCGGGUGAGAAAUGGAUAACCUACCUAUAAUUCUGGGAGGAUUACGGGAGACAGGAUCUGAUAACGGCUAAUAUAUUGAACCGCAUGGUUCAAUAGUUAAAGACGGUUUUGGUGUCAGAAAGAGAUGGAUCCGCGCCGCAUUAGCUAGUUGGUAAGGUAACGGCUAACCAAGGCAACGAUGCGUAGCCGACCGGAGAGGGUGAUCGGCCACACUGGAACUGAGACACGGUCCAGACUCCUACGGGAGGCAGCAGUAGGGAAUCUUCAGCAAUGGGCGAAAGCCUGACCCAGCAACGCCGCGUGAGUGAUGAAGGUCUUCGGAUCGUAAAACUCUGUUAUUAGGGAAGAACAAAUGUAGAAGUAACCAUGCACGUUUUGACGGUACCCAAACAGAAAGCAACGGCUAACUACGUG